CUACGGGGGGCUGCAGUAAGGAAUAUUGCGCAAUGGAGGCAACUCUGACGCAGCCAUGCCGCGUGCAGGAAGAAGGCCUUAUGGGUCGUAAACUGCUUUUAUUUAGGAAUAAACCCCCGAACGUGUUCGGGGCUGAAGGUACUAAACGAAUAAGCACCGGCUAACUCCGUGCCAGCAGCCGCAGUAAUACGGAGGGUGCAAGCGUUAUCCGGAUUUAUUGGGUUUAAAGGGUGCGCAGGCGGGCUAUUAAGUCAGUGGUGAAAUCACGGGGCUCAACUCCGGAAGUGCCAUUGAUACUGAUAGUCUUGAGUUUGGUUGAAGUGGGCGGAAUGUAGCAUGUAGCGGUGAAAUGCAUAGAUAUGCUACAGAACACCAAUCGCGAAGGCAGCUCACUAAGCCAAAACUGACGCUCAUGCACGAAAGCGUGGGGAUCAAACAGGAUUAGAUACCCGAGUAGUC
This 459-nucleotide ribosomal RNA is filed under the name uncultured bacterium. RNAcentral describes it as "partial 16S ribosomal RNA". It matches the Rfam family "Bacterial small subunit ribosomal RNA", at positions 339 to 795 of the family's 1533-position model. The record is from RNAcentral.